Molecule: long non-coding RNA, 661 nt
Organism: Sapajus apella (tufted capuchin)
Lineage: Eukaryota; Metazoa; Chordata; Mammalia; Primates; Cebidae
Exons: 3
Source: RefSeq, a predicted model, not a curated record
GGGGCGGCGGAGACCCGCCCCGGCCCACAGGACACCCCCUCGGAACGCGCGGCCCCCCAGCUAAGUCGGGUUUAACAGCCGCAGAAAUUAUCUUGUCUCCGCGUUCUUUCUUCUGCCGGCGAGCCAGUGUCAUUUGUGGAUUAUUAAAGAAACCUCUCCAUGCCCGAUACGUUAAGGACCUUCAAUAUAACAUCAAAUAGAAAGGGUGAGUACAAGCAUUGUUUUCCUAUUUUUAUCUCAUUGAGAAUGUUUCUCAUGUGUCAAAAUUAUGAUAUUUGUUUUUAAGUCUUUGGUAGGAACUCUUUAUUAGUUUCCUUCUAUUCCAUUUAUGCUUAAAGUAGGAAUAUUGUUAAGCCAUGAAAUGAAUAUUGAAAUAUUAAUAAAUGCUUUUUCUAAAAAUAUUGAGAUGAUUACAGGUUUUAUCUUUGCUAUGUUAAUGUGACAGGUCACAUUGUUAGAUGUUUCUGAUGUGAACCUACACUUGCAUUCCUGAGUUAAACCCUGCUUUGCCUUAAUGUACUGUUAUUUAUUAAUACAGCGCUUCAUGUAUUUUAUUUUAGCAUCUAUGUUUAUAAGUGACAUUGGUUUAGAAGGUUCCAAUUGCAUUUGGAAAUUUCCUCUUUCUAUAUUCUAUGACAGUUUGGAUGAGAUAGGUAUGAUA